GUCCACGCCGUAAACGAUGGAUACUUGGUGUUGGAGGUAUUGACCCCUUCAGUGCCGAAGCUAACGCGUUAAGUAUCCCGCCUGGGAAGUACGGUCGCAAGAUUAAAACUCAAAGAAAUUGACGGGGGCCCCGCACAAGCGGUGGAGCAUGUGGUUCAAUUCGAUGCAACGCGAAAACCUUACCUGGGUUUGAAGUGCUAGUGAAUAAGGUAGAGAUAUCUUAGGGCCUUCGGGACACUAGUAUCAGGUGCUGCAUGGCUGUCGU
Molecule: ribosomal RNA, 265 nt
Filed under: uncultured bacterium
Lineage: Bacteria
Description: partial 16S ribosomal RNA
Rfam family: Bacterial small subunit ribosomal RNA
Source: RNAcentral